This 1337-nucleotide ribosomal RNA is filed under the name uncultured bacterium. RNAcentral describes it as "bacterial SSU rRNA". It matches the Rfam family "Bacterial small subunit ribosomal RNA", at positions 28 to 1381 of the family's 1533-position model. The record is from RNAcentral.
GACGAACGCUGGCGGCGUGCUUAACACAUGCAAGUCGAACGGAAAGGCCCUUCGGGGUACUCGAGUGGCGAACGGGUGAGUAACACGUGGGUGAUCUGCCCUGCACUUUGGGAUAAGCCUGGGAAACUGGGUCUAAUACCGAAUAGGACCACGCGCUUCAUGGUGUGUGGUGGAAAGCUUUUGCGGUGUGGGAUGGGCCCGCGGCCUAUCAGCUUGUUGGUGGGGUAAUGGCCUACCAAGGCGACGACGGGUAGCCGGCCUGAGAGGGUGACCGGCCACACUGGGACUGAGAUACGGCCCAGACUCCUACGGGAGGCAGCAGUGGGGAAUAUUGCACAAUGGGCGCAAGCCUGAUGCAGCGACGCCGCGUGAGGGAUGACGGCCUUCGGGUUGUAAACCUCUUUCAAUAGGGACGAAGCGCAAGUGACGGUACCUAUAGAAGAAGCACCGGCCAACUACGUGCCAGCAGCCGCGGUAAUACGUAGGGUGCGAGCGUUGUCCGGAAUUACUGGGCGUAAAGAGCUCGUAGGUGGUUUGUCGCGUUGUUCGUGAAAACUCACAGCUUAACUGUGGGCGUGCGGGCGAUACGGGCAGACUAGAGUACUGCAGGGGAGACUGGAAUUCCUGGUGUAGCGGUGGAAUGCGCAGAUAUCAGGAGGAACACCGGUGGCGAAGGCGGGUCUCUGGGCAGUAACUGACGCUGAGGAGCGAAAGCGUGGGGAGCGAACAGGAUUAGAUACCCUGGUAGUCCACGCCGUAAACGGUGGGUACUAGGUGUGGGUUCCUUCCUUGGGAUCCGUGCCGCGGCUAACGUAUUAAGUACCCCGCCUGGGGAGUACGGCCGCAAGGCUAAAACUCAAAGGAAUUGACGGGGGCCCGCACAAGCGGCGGAGCAUGUGGAUUAAUUCGAUGCAACGCGAAGAACCUUACCUGGGUUUGACAUGCACAGGACGCCGGCAGAGAUGUCGGUUCCCUUGUGGCCUGUGUGCAGGUGGUGCAUGGCUGUCGUCAGCUCGUGUCGUGAGAUGUUGGGUUAAGUCCCGCAACGAGCGCAACCCUUGUCCUAUGUUGCCAGCGGGUUAUGCCGGGGACUCGUAGGAGACUGCCGGGGUCAACUCGGAGGAAGGUGGGGAUGACGUCAAGUCAUCAUGCCCCUUAUGUCCAGGGCUUCACACAUGCUACAAUGGCCGGUACAAAGGGCUGCGAUGCCGUGAGGUGGAGCGAAUCCUUUCAAAGCCGGUCUCAGUUCGGAUCGGGGUCUGCAACUCGACCCCGUGAAGUCGGAGUCGCCAGUAAUCGCAGAUCAGCAACGCUGCGGUGAAUACGUUCCCGGGCCU